Long non-coding RNA from Malaya genurostris, 5230 nucleotides. RefSeq lists it as uncharacterized. Lineage: Eukaryota; Metazoa; Arthropoda; Insecta; Diptera; Culicidae. The transcript has 3 exons. The record is from RefSeq and is a predicted model, not a curated record.
UGUAGUGUCAUCCGGCAGUAUGAUCAUUCCUUACGUUAGCUGCUUUCUGUUGGUUCCGUGAACACGUGUACUAUAUUUCGGGCUUGGUUCAUAACGUAUGUUAAAAUUUUAAUUGUGUAUAUAUUGCAUUUGCGCAUGUAAAAAUACGUAAAUUUGUGUUUAAAAUAAGGCAACCAACAGCGACUGAAGACUGAAAUGGUAAAUUGGCAUAUAUUUAUAGAUGCUCCUUUGUGCCAAAUUUCAUACUACGCAGCAUGAGAUUGUAUUCUCGUUAUGCACAACGCGAAGCCUCUCUAUGACAAAUGAAGCAGAAGCUACUAUAUGAAAUUCUAGAUGUAGACCAACGAUCGCAAAUAUCGGUCGUGUACGAAAAAUCGAGGAAUGACAUCAUUUUGGUCCGCUGUAAUUGGCUAAUGAAAACGUUAUAUGAAUCCAUCCACAGGUCACUGAGUUAUUAGUGUUCAAAAUUAUGAAAAUAAAUCUGACGCGGCUAGUUUUCUAAUUUUUAAUUGACACCCGGCCCCGUAUGGUGAAAAGUAAGACAUUUCAAUGCCAAAACGCCGAUCGGAUGAAAGCAACGAAACAAUGUAACCAUCAACAAGUGGACGAGUGCAUCCUGAUGAUCCGGAACCAUCAACGAGCAGUCAUCAAUCUUUAAUUGAGCUAGAUAGUGUAACAUCGAUUCCAUCAUUGGAGUAACUUCCAUCAAGAGACCAGCAACAGGGCCUGUAUAACACAUGUACUGAAAAGUCCCGGUCCUAACAAAGACAACACGAUUUUUUGGUUCAAAAUUAACUUUAUUCAUUAACGUAAUCUCCAUCAAGAGCAACGCAAUCAUUCCAGCGCCUCUCUAACAUUUCCAUACCACCUUUGUAGAACGAUUUAUCUUUUGCCUCAAAAUAGGCUUCGUUUUCAGUGAUAACCUCUUCAUUCGUGCGAAAUUUCUUACCGGCGAUCAUUUUUUUCAGGUCUGCUAACUACCAAUAGUCGCUGGGAUCUGGAGAAUACGUUGGUUGUAGGAGAAAUUCGAAGUUCAAUUCAUGUACAUGCAUUUUUUUGAUUGACUUGUGACACGGUGCGUUGUCUUGAUGAAACAAAAUUUUAUUCUUUACCGGUUUCAUUGCGAUUUCAGCCUUCAAGCGCUCCAAUAACGCUAUGUAAUAUUCGAUGUUAAUGGUGUUUCCAUUACACCGGGCUGAUCGAUGCUUCUUGUUUCGGACUACGUUUUGGUUGUUUCUGUUUCUUAUAGGUUCGAAGAUUCAAACGUUCUUUAGCACGAAGAACAUUUGACUUCGAAUAUUAUCAGUAUAUCCAAUAAACUUUGAAUAUCUAACACUUGUGAAUUAUUUACAGCGGAAUCAAAGUGCGCCCAUACUUUCUGGGAUAGUCUUUAUGGUAUAAAAUUAGAGGGACCCUUCAAGGCUGUAUCGAAAGGCUUAUCAAAUGCUUGGUUUUGCCCCUUCCCAAGUAAUACCUAUGAAAAAAGAGCGAAUGGUACUUCUAAGUCACGCUCUGGAAUUUCCUAUGAACUUUACCUAAUAUACUUCAAUUGAAGUGAUGUAAACAAUUUGAAAACUUUAGAAAAGAAGCGUUUGAUUUUCCACAUUAAAAUCAUUGGGAAUAUUAUAAACGGAAUAAUGGUAUUGCAAACUUAAAGCAAUGUCGUCGUUGCCAAGGUUUCGGCCAUGGUACUAAAACCUGCCAUGUGGAUAUGCGGAGUUUGAAUUGUGGUAAAUCGCAUUCGAAAGACGUCUAUCCAAUGAAUGAAACUACUGAUAAAUUUUCAUGUUCUAAUUGUGAUGGAAAUCAUAAAUCCAAUUAUUUGAAAUGUCCUGUCAAGGAGAAAACUUUGAACGCUCGUUCGCUUAGACAACAAGUCAAAUCAACGACCUUAAAUUCAGUUCCACUUUAACUAUCGGGCCGAUCGGAUGCAAAUUCGUGUUUUUUCAAUAGUGCGGUGAAUUGUUUAUUCCGUUUUCAUGGUCAUUCCGUAUGCUAUUGCCUGCAUCAGUGCGUUCGAGUGAUAAUUCGAAUUAAUCCGUCCUCAAGGUCGAUUGUGAACUGUGUAAAGAAGCACUGUGUGUGGUACCGUUAGCCAGCGCCCAGCUGGGCGCUGCUGCUAUAUUGUCUACAAAUACAUUAGACAGUGUAGAGUGAAAAAACGUGUAAGGUUUCAUUGUACAGUGCAGAAAGAGACUGCAAAAAAGUGCUCUCUCCUCAAGGAGGUUUUUUGCACUUUAUUGAUCAGGAAUGUACACCGAUUGCCUAGAACCAUGCCUUGUCGGCCGUUCACCCUUUCAUUUCAAUAUUUACCCGCACGGACUUUUUCCGUGCUAUGACAAAAGGUUCAAAAUUGCCUGACCUCCCUCCAGAUGACGAAAUGGAAUCAUCUGAUGGCAAUAAAACUCGUAUAAAAAAUUAUCCCGAUGGGCUUGCACUUCCGGCCGGUUCGUACGCGGCUUACAUCCGGACCAAAUUGAAUGGAAAAAAAUGAGCAUCCUUAGAUUAUCUAAAGACUUGACCUCGCGAUAUUCUACAAUACAAAAGAUUGAAAAAGUACGCCCAGACAUGCUUAGGGUCUUGUUAGCCAGUGCAAAUCAAUCUCGACGUCAAUCUCGAAUAUCGUCACUAAAUACGUGGAAAACACUCAGUCUAAAACUCUAGCUGAAGAAAUAGAAGCAAACAAACCACUAAAACCAAAAGAAAAAAAGACACUUGCAACGAGCAUGACUGGCGCUUCAUCGGGAAUGAGAAAACGCAACAUUGCAUUACUUUUUCGACAAAAUUUCUAAUUUUGGCCUGCAUCAAGUAAACUCCGUAAAAAAUCGACAAAAUGCAUAUUUUGAUCUUCUUUUCACAAAUUGCACAGAAGAUUUUUGUGUGAGUGCAUCAAACCAGCCAUUAUGGAAAAAUGAAGCAUUUCACACCGCAAUUGAAUAUUCAUUAUUUUCACACAAUGCAUCUCUUCCCUACGAUUUGAAGUAUGAGGAAGUGCCGGAAUACAAUAAAAUUGACUUUGAAGAAGUCAAGCUUAGAGUAAAUAUAAUUAAUAGGCGAAAUGUUUUGAGUAUAGAAGAAAAUGCCGACGACGAAGUAGAAAAAUUUUAUCAAAUUGUAAACAAUAUAUUAGCAGAAACUUUACCGAAGAAAAGAAGAAGAAAAAAUUAUAAUAGCAAAUUACCUGUAUGGUUCAAUUCACAACUGAAACAUUUGAAAAAUAGAUAGCAAAAAGAACAUAAAAUUUACAAACAAGAAAAAAGUGACACUCAUCUUCAAAAUUACAUAGACCUCUGCAAUCAACUCAAAAUAACCAUAAAUGCAGCACAUGAAGAAAAUAACUAUACGAAAACUAAACUAAAAAGCAACAAUUUUCCAUCUCGAAUGCAUCUCGACGGACAUGUAGGAAACAAUAGUACAGAAAUCUGCAAAAAAUUGCAAACUUUUUCAGGAAAUAUAUACAUCGUACCGAACUGACCGUGACCGUGAAUACUUUUCUUUCGUACCUGCAUUUUCCAACUCCAUCUCUGUGAACUAUCUAUCAGAACAUGACAUUUCCACAACACUGAAAAACUUCGACGCCUCAGAGGGGGCUGAACCUGACAGUAUACCACCAAUAUUCUUAAAAAAUCUAGCUGAAGAAUUCACACUACCACUACAACUACUUAUUAACUAAUCACUUAAUAAAUGUUCUUUUCCAAAAGCAUGGAAAUCUUCUUUUCUUGUACCAAUAUUUAAAUCUAAUUCAAAAUCUAACAUUCGGAACUACCGUGGAAUAGCCAUUAUCUCUUGCAUUCCAAAAUUGUUUGAAAAGAUUGUAAACGAAAAACUUUUCAAACAACUGAAGAACGUAAUAACUAACAAACAGCAUGGCUUUUCCAAAGGCCGCUCAACUACAACAAAUCUCCUUGAAUUUGUGACAUUCACUCUGAACGCAAUGUACGCUGGCAACCACGCUUUCGACCGUACUGACAGACCAUUACUACUAUACGAACUACAAAAAUAUGGCAUAGAACAUAGCCUUCUGGAGUGGCUUGAAUUAUACUUAACGAAUCGUGUACAAGUAGUUCGCUUCCAAAACAUAAACUCUGAACCAAUUAAUGUAACAUGUGGCGUACCUCAGGGUUCUCACCUAAGCCCUCUUCUUUUCGUUUUAAAUAUAAACAACAUUUCCUUCACACUCAAAAAUUUAAAAGUGCUUAUUUAUGCAGGCGACAUGAAACUCCUCAUGGAAAUUAAAAAUAUCAACGACGCUGUAAUAUUCCAGAACGAAAUCAAUCUAUUCCACAUUUGGUGCUGCAAAAGUCUACUUCAACUCAAUGUAAAAAAAUGCAACUCAAUAACUUUCAGUAGGAAAAACGAAACCCAUUCUGUAGACAUAUUUUUAGGAAAUCAAAUAGUAGCAAAAAGUAAAAUUGUACGAGAUUUAGGUGUAACCAUGGACUCCAAACUAACAUUUGUGGAACAUUAUAACACAAUUAUCUAUGAAGCAAACAGUAUGCUGGGCUUUAUCAAAAACACUUCAGUCAUAAUUUCUAAGACCCAUAUACUAUAAAAUUGCUAUAUAGUACAUAUGUCAGAUCCAUCUUGGAAUAUUGCAGCCUAGUAUGGAAUCCAUAUAACAUUAUUCACGAAAAACGCUUUGAAUCUAUACAAAAACAAUUUCUUUUAUAUGCACUUCGUAAAUUAAACUGGACAGCAUUUCCUCUACCAUCAUAUGAACAUGCAUGCUCAUCAAUACACAAAUACUUAAAGAACGCCGCGACUUUGCAAUGCUUUAUUUUAUCAGCGACAAUAUUUCUCAACGCAUUCAAUCAGCUCCAUUAUUAUCGCAAUUAAAUUUUCAUAUACCUAGCCGUCAACUACGUUCCAGGAAAUUAUUUUUAGAAAAACAAAAGCAAAGCCUUGGUAUUACAUUCCUGUAGUGGAAUUUGACCUUCUGUUUCAACAGACUUCGCAGCCGAUUCAGAGUGUACAGAGCCAUUGCAUGGCUAGUGCUACGAUUCUACUGACACUGCGAAUCUCUCCAGGUCGGGGCUCGAACAUACGACAACUGAUUUGUAAGACCAACGCCCUAAGCAUUGAACCGUCAACCCGGGACGAAAUAAAAAUAAAAACAAGCAAGAACAAAUUAUGUAAAAUACAGUCCAGUCAAUCGAAUAAUGCGCCAUUACAAUCAAUACUGCGAACAUCUUGACCUUGCUAUGUCAAAAAAUCAAAUAAAAUCUCAGCU